GGUCAAGUAAUGAAGUGCACAUGGUGGAUGCCUUGGCAGUCAGAGGCGAUGAAAGACGUGAUAGCCUGCGAUAAGCGUCGGUGAGGUGGCAAUAUCCUGUGACCCGGCGAUUUCUGAAUGGGGAAACCCAACCAACACAAGUUGGUUAUUACACAGUUUACUGUGUAAGGCAAACCGGGAGAAGUGAAACAUCUCAGUACCCCGAGGAAAAGACAUCAAAUGAGAUUCCGUAAGUAGCGGCGAGCGAACACGGAGGAGCCGAUCAAUUUUACAGUAGCAAAAUGGCGUGGGAAAGCCAACCAUAGUAGGUGAUAGUCCUGUAUGCGAAACUGUUUAAGCGACAUAUUAAGUAGGGCGGAACACGAGAAAUUCUGUCUGAAGAUGGGGGGACCAUCCUCCAAGGCUAAAUACUCCUGACUGACCGAUAGUGAACCAGUACCGUGAGGGAAAGGCGAAAAGAACCCCUGUUAGGGGAGUGAAAUAGAACCUGAAACCGUGUGCAUACAAGCAGUCGGAGCGGACUUGUUCCGUGACGGCGUACCUUUUGUAUAAUGGGUCAGCGACUUAUAUUCUGUAGCAAGGUUAACCGAAUAGGGGAGCCGUAGGGAAACCGAGUCUUAAUAGGGCGAAUGAGUUGCAGGGUAUAGACCCGAAACCGAGUGAUCUAUCCAUGAGCAGGUUGAAAGUGCCGUAACAGGCACCGGAGGACCGAACCCACUGUCGUUGAAAAGCCAGGGGAUGACUUGUGGAUAGGGGUGAAAGGCUAAUCAAACUCGGUGAUAGCUGGUUCUCCCCGAAAGCUAUUUAGGUAGCGCCUCGGACGAACACCAUUGGGGGUAGAGCACUGUUUCGGCUAGGGGGUCACACCGACUUACCAAACCGAUGCAAACUCCGAAUACCGAUGAGUGAUAUCCGGGAGACAGACGGCGGGUGCUAACGUCCGUCGUCAAGAGGGAAACAACCCAGACCGCCAGCUAAGGCCCCAAAUUCCUAGUUAAGUGGGAAACGAUGUGGGAAGGCACAGACAGCUAGGAGGUUGGCUUAGAAGCAGCCACCCUUUAAAGAAAGCGUAAUAGCUCACUAGUCGAGUCGGCCUGCGCGGAAGAUGUAACGGGGCUCAAACUAGGAGCCGAAGCUGCGGAUUUAAUUGUUUCAAUUAAGUGGUAGGGGAGCGUUGUGUAAGCCUGUGAAGGUGCACUGUAAGGUGUGCUGGAGGUAUCACAAGAGCGAAUGCUGACGUGAGUAACGACAAAACGGGUGAAAAGCCCGUUCGCCGGAAGACCAAGGGUUCCAGUCCAACGUUAAUCGGGGCUGGGUGAGUCGACCCCUAAGGCGAGGCCGAAAGGCGUAGUCGAUGGGAAAUCGGUUAAUAUUCCGAUACUUGUUUAUGAUGCGAUGGAGGGACGGAGAAGGUUAUGCCAGCCUGGCGAUGGUUGUCCAGGUGGAAGGAUGUAGUUAGACUGAGUAGGCAAAUCCGCUCGGUUAUUAAUGAGAUCUGAUAGCAAGCCAGUUUACUGGCGAAGUGGCAAAUACCCUGCUUCCAGGAAAAGCUUCUAAGCGAUAGUCAUAAACGAAUCGUACCCGAAACCGACACAGGUGGUCAGGUAGAGAAUACCAAGGCGCUUGAGAGAACUCUGCUGAAGGAACUAGGCAAAAUGGUACCGUAACUUCGGGAGAAGGUACGCUGCCGGUGGUGAAAUCCUCGCGAUGUAAGCUACUGGCAGUCGCAGAUACCAGGCUGCUGCAACUGUUUAUUAAAAACACAGCACUCUGCAAACACGAAAGUGGACGUAUAGGGUGUGAUGCCUGCCCGGUGCUGGAAGGUUAAUUGAUGGGGUUAGCGUAAGCGAAGCUCUUGAUCGAAGCCCCAGUAAACGGCGGCCGUAACUAUAACGGUCCUAAGGUAGCGAAAUUCCUUGUCGGGUAAGUUCCGACCUGCACGAAUGGCAUAAUGAUGGCAGCGCUGUCUCCAGCAGAGACUCAGUGAAAUCGAAAUCGCAGUGAAGAUGCUGUGUACCCGCGGCUAGACGGAAAGACCCCGUGAACCUUUACUACAGCUUUACAUUGAACUUUGACCUAACUUGUGUAGGAUAGGUGGGAGGCUUUGAAGCAGAUACGCCAGUAUUUGUGGAGCCAACCUUGAAAUACCACCCUGGUUAUGUUGGGGUUCUAACUUAGGAUUAACAAAUCCAAGGACAAUGUAUGGUGGGUAGUUUGACUGGGGCGGUCUCCUCCUAAAGAGUAACGGAGGAGUACGAAGGUGCGCUCAGAACGGUCGGAAAUCGUUCAAAGAGUAUAAAGGCAAAAGCGCGCUUAACUGCGAGACCCACAAGUCGAGCAGGUACGAAAGUAGGUCUUAGUGAUCCGGUGGUUCUGUAUGGAAGGGCCAUCGCUCAACGGAUAAAAGGUACUCUGGGGAUAACAGGCUGAUACCGCCCAAGAGUUCAUAUCGACGGCGGUGUUUGGCACCUCGAUGUCGGCUCAUCUCAUCCUGGGGCUGAAGCAGGUCCCAAGGGUAUGGCUGUUCGCCAUUUAAAGAGGUACGCGAGCUGGGUUUAGAACGUCGUGAGACAGUUCGGUCCCUAUCUACCGUGGGCGUUGGAAAUUUGAGAGGAUCUGCUCCUAGUACGAGAGGACCAGAGUGGACGAACCUCUGGUGUUCCGGUUGUUUCGCCAGAAGCAUCGCCGGGUAGCUACGUUCGGAUGGGAUAACCGCUGAAAGCAUCUAAGCGGGAAGCCCACCUCAAGAUAAGAUUUCCCUAAAGAGCCGUUGUAGACUACGACGUUGAUAGGUUGGGUGUGGAAGUGUAGUGAUACAUGUAGCUAACCAAUACUAAUUGCUCGUUUGGCUUGACCAU
This 2858-nucleotide ribosomal RNA is filed under the name Moraxella catarrhalis. RNAcentral describes it as "bacterial LSU rRNA". It matches the Rfam family "Bacterial large subunit ribosomal RNA". The record is from RNAcentral. Lineage: Bacteria; Pseudomonadati; Pseudomonadota; Gammaproteobacteria; Moraxellales; Moraxellaceae.